Cinara cedri is the source of this 328-nucleotide non-coding RNA. The record is from the annotation of a GenBank genome assembly. Lineage: Eukaryota; Metazoa; Arthropoda; Insecta; Hemiptera; Aphididae.
AUUAAAUACAUAUCAAACUAAUAUAAUAUAUUUUUCAAGUUUUGAAUAAUUGAUAUUUACAAAACUAGAGAUUGAAGUUUGAAAUAAAACUUCCAGAAUUUAAUACAAUUUCCCUGACUAUUAUAGGGUUUUAUGGAUUGCAUUAUCACUUAAUUAUCCGGUACCUAAUUUUUAACUUCAUUUCUGCUUGACUUAUACAGUCUAAUACGAUAGGUUUCAUGAUAAAUGGAGUGGCUGUGUACAGUUAAGAGGGUAAUAGUGAGCUAGGGAGGAGAGGGCUAUCAAAAUGACAAUUAUACUAGGUUUUAGAUAUAUAAUUAAAAAUAAU